This 2104-nucleotide long non-coding RNA is filed under the name Citrus sinensis (sweet orange). RNAcentral describes it as "long non-coding RNA (CSIN_LNC002541)". The record is from RNAcentral. Lineage: Eukaryota; Viridiplantae; Streptophyta; Magnoliopsida; Sapindales; Rutaceae.
AGUUUCUGCUUCAAUAAAGACACCACUAUCUUGAGUUGACCUUUCUACUUCCCUUGUAUGAAAUCUUUGACCAUUAACAAUGAAACCAACAAAAGACAUUGCAUGCAUCCUAGGCCCUUUUGCUAGUGACUUUAAUGUGUCAGAUACAUUAGCCAUACUUUCUUGGAUCUUUAUCUAUUCACCAAUAAACCAAACAAUAGGUCAUCCUAUACAUUGAAAAGUUUAUUGCAUUUGAUUUUUUUUAAUGUUAACUUAGAUGGACUAAAUGAUUAGCUUACCAUGAUAAAAAUGAAUCUUUAUGCUAGCUACAACAUGUUAAGAGUAAGUGAACAUGAUAUAUCAUUAGGAAAAGAAAAAGAUAAAACGCAGCUGUUACUACAAAUAUAACAACAUUAUUAGCAUAUGUUCAUUAUUCAUACUACAGUAAAUCAAAUAUGCAUUCACACUAUAAAAAAUAAUAAACAAUGAAUUCCAAAUUCAAAAUGAAUAAUAAUAGUUUAAAUUUCAAUUUCAAUUUCCUCAGAAUCCUUCCUUACAUGAGAAUCAUUACCAUCCACAUCAUUAGGCUCCAGCCUAGAAGCAUCGAUAGGCAUAUUAGUUGAAUUUACAUUCUCAUCAUACAUAUUAAGGUUGUGAUAGCCCCUUGGUGUUGCUUUAAGUACAACAUACCAAUUCGAUGUAUCACUUUCUCAAGAGUAAAAAACUUGUUUCGCUUGCGACGCCGAUAUGAAAGGAUCUAUUUGCCAUUGAUUUUGUCCUUGAUGGAGAUUCACCAAUGUGAAACCAUCAUCUUGCUUGACUCCAUUUAUAGUGUUAGCCCAAUCACAAUGAAAUAUGGGCAUUUGAAAUGUACGAUAGUCAAGCAAAAUGAUAUCUUUUAUAACCCCAUAGUAGGAUACAUUUCCAACAACUGCAGCAUUAUCCUUCGCACUAGAUCUACAUAUAGUUUCUGCUUCAAUAAAGACACCACUAUCUUGAGUUGACCUUUCUACUUCCCUUGUAUGAAAUCUUUGACCAUUAACAAUGAAACCAACAAAAGACAUUGCAUGCAUCCUAGGCCCUUUUGCUAGUGACUUUAAUGUGUCAGAUACAUUAGCCAUACUUUCUUGGAUCUUUAUCUAUUCACCAAUAAACCAAACAAUAGGUCAUCCUAUACAUUGAAAAGUUUAUUGCAUUUGAUUUUUUUUAAUGUUAACUUAGAUGGACUAAAUGAUUAGCUUACCUUUUCUGCUAACCAUUGGGAAAAAGUUUCAGUGUGCAUUUUGUGUAGCUCUUGAAUAUCACACCUACGUCUCCUAAAUGAUCUCUGCAAUUUCUCCAUAUGCAUUCUAAGAUCAAACUAAGUUAAUUACAAGACUAAAUACAUAAAUUAAAUAAUAUACAUGAUCGAUAAAUACUCACUCUCGAAAUGGCUCCGCUUCUAUUGUAUUUAAUAAUACAUAACGAUGUGCGAUUUUUAACAUAGCUUCAGACAUUUUCAAUGGUCGACCUUUUAAGAUUGGCCACCCUCCUAUUAAUGGCUCAUAAACUUAAACACCAUUGUUCCACAAUUCAAUCAAAUCAUCUAUUAAUGGCUCCAAGAAUACAUCAAUGGCAUUCCCUGGUUGUUUUGGCCCUAGUAUUAACAAUGUCAACAUUAUGUUCUCCUCAGACAUACAUACCCAUGGAGGAAGGUUAUAUGUUACUAGGAAAAUAGGCCAACAACUGCAUACAUAGCUAAAAUUACGAAAAGGGUUAAACCCAUCAGCAGCAAGCCCAAACCUGAUAUUUCUUGGAUCAGAUGCAAAAUUAGACCAUUUCUUAUUGAUGUUAUCCCAUGCCACUGAAUCAACUGGGUGUCUCAUUUUUCCAUCUGAACUUUUGUUAAUUGAGUGCCAUUUCAAUUGUUCUACUUUUUCACAUGACAUAAACAUCUUUCUAAGUCUAGGUAUUAUAGGGAAAUAACGCAGCACUUUUGCUGGUACUCCUGUCCUAAUCUUCUUAGUUCGAGAAUUUACUUGCCAUCUAGAGGUGUUACACUUAGGACAUGUAUCUAAAUUUUCUUUCUCCUUGGUGAAGAGACAACAAUCAUUAACACAAGCAUGGAUUUUUUUGUAACCGCUAU